ACUCAAAUGAAUUGACGGGAGCCCGCACAAGCAGUGGAGUAUGUGGUUUAAUUCGAAGCAACGCGAAGAACCUUACCAGAGCUUGACAUCCUAUGAACCUGGGGUAAUGCCCGGGGUGCCCUUCGGGGAGCAUAGAGACAGGUGGUGCAUGGUUGUCGUCAGCUCGUGUCGUGAGAUGUUGGGUUAAGUCCCGCAACGAGCGCAACCCUUAUUGUCAGUUGCUACUGAAGAAGAGCACUCUGGCAAGACUGCCGUUGACAAAACGGAGGAAGGCGGGGACGACGUCAAAUCAUCAUGCCCCUUAAGUCCUGGGCAACACACGUACUACAAUGGCGCAAACAGAGGGGAGCGAAACCGCGAGGCGGAGCAAAUCCCAAAAAGGCGCCCCAGUUCAGAUUGCAGGCUGCAACUCGCCUGCAUGAAGUUGGAAUUGCUAGUAAUCGCGGAUCAGCAUGCCGCGGUGAAUACGUUCCCGGGCUUUGUACACACCGCCCGU
RNAcentral lists this ribosomal RNA (496 nucleotides) under uncultured bacterium. RNAcentral describes it as "bacterial SSU rRNA". It matches the Rfam family "Bacterial small subunit ribosomal RNA", at positions 899 to 1397 of the family's 1533-position model. The record is from RNAcentral.